Molecule: unclassified non-coding RNA, 334 nt
Filed under: soil metagenome
Description: partial contains 5.8S ribosomal RNA, internal transcribed spacer 2, and large subunit ribosomal RNA
Rfam family: 5.8S ribosomal RNA (bases 1-120)
Source: RNAcentral
GAUGAAGAACGUAGCGAAAUGCGAUACGUAAUGUGAAUUGCAGAAUUCAGUGAAUCAUCGAAUCUUUGAACGCACAUUGCGCCCGCCAGCACUCUGGCGGGCAUGCCUGUUCGAGCGUCAUUUCAACCAUCAAGCCCCAGGCUUGCGUUGGAGCCCUGCGGCUGCCGCAGACUCCUAAAAGCAGUGGCGGGCUCGCUAUCACACCGAGUGCAGUAGAUUACUCUUCGCUCAGGGCGUGCAGCGGGUUCCGGCCGUGAAACCCCCUACUUUUAAAGGUUGACCUCGGAUCAGGUAGGAAUACCCGCUGAACUUAAGCAUAUCAAUAAGCGGAGGA